GCCCCUAUAGCUCAAUUGGCAGAGCAAUUGACUCUUAAUCAAUAGGUUCUUGGUUCGAUUCCAAGUGGGGGCA
RNAcentral lists this transfer RNA (73 nucleotides) under Planctomycetaceae bacterium. RNAcentral describes it as "tRNA-Lys". It matches the Rfam family "tRNA". Rfam says of the family: Transfer RNA (tRNA) molecules are approximately 80 nucleotides in length. Their secondary structure includes four short double-helical elements and three loops (D, anti-codon, and T loops). Lineage: Bacteria; Pseudomonadati; Planctomycetota; Planctomycetia; Planctomycetales; Planctomycetaceae. RNAcentral also lists the same sequence under 3 other names. The record is from RNAcentral.